GUAGUGGGGGAUAACGUUCGGAAACGGACGCUAAUACCGCAUACGUCCUACGGGAGAAAGCAGGGGACCUUCGGGCCUUGCGCUAUCAGAUGAGCCUAGGUCGGAUUAGCUAGUUGGUGAGGUAAUGGCUCACCAAGGCUACGAUCCGUAACUGGUCUGAGAGGAUGAUCAGUCACACUGAAACUGAGACACGGUCCAGACUCCUACGGGAGGCAGCAGUGGGGAAUAUUGGACAAUGGGCGAAAGCCUGAUCCA
Molecule: ribosomal RNA, 255 nt
Filed under: uncultured bacterium
Lineage: Bacteria
Description: partial 16S ribosomal RNA
Rfam family: Bacterial small subunit ribosomal RNA
Source: RNAcentral